UUACGGUCAAAUCACGCUGAAAACACCGGUUCUCGUUCGAUCACCGAAGUUAAGCAUCGUAGAGCCAGGUCAGUACUUAGAUGGGGGACCGCUUGUGAACACAUGGUACU
Acanthosepion pharaonis is the source of this 110-nucleotide non-coding RNA. Lineage: Eukaryota; Metazoa; Mollusca; Cephalopoda; Sepiida; Sepiidae. The record is from the annotation of a GenBank genome assembly.